CGCUGAAGGCGGAAAUGAAGCAUGAUCUGGCUUGCAUCUGGUCAUGAAGAAAUUGCUGACACGUUAGUUGCAGUCCACCUCCACCAACAGGGUGGAAAACAAAGAUCGCCAUUCCGAUUAGCUGCUAUCUCCCAGUUCAAGCACUUUUGUGUCUGGACACUGGUUCCUGUGGAUGGGGUGUUACAAGCUUUACUGUCUGAUAUAGAAGAAUUUUCAGUGUCAUCAACGUCCAUUGAGGAAGGUGCCUUUACUAUCUGUGAAUCUUCAACUGAAGAAUAGCCCAGAAUUCAUGUUAACAUUCUCUACUCUUAUUAAUUCACUGUCUGUUUUCUGAGAGCUAAGAAAAAUGGAAACUAUUUAUUUGUCACAACUUCACACUGGAUACUGGUCUGGUACUGGCUUGACAUGUAAGCUAAAAUACCUGGAUUCUACAAUAAUUGUGUUCAACUUGGUGCAUUACCGUGGGCAAUGCCACAUUCACUACAUUUUUAGUGGGUCCGGUGCGCAAAUACUGUGUGCAUACUGCAUACAUACAUACUGUUCGAUAGGCAAAAAUACCUGAGCAGUGCUGUGUAGUCUUUUUACCCAAAGUCCAUACUCUUACUGCAAAGUCACAGUACGUAGAACAGCAAUAUGUAUCAAGUAUGCUGCGUAUGCAAUGCAGGUAUGCUGCGAUAGA
Molecule: long non-coding RNA, 679 nt
Organism: Ornithodoros turicata
Lineage: Eukaryota; Metazoa; Arthropoda; Arachnida; Ixodida; Argasidae
Exons: 3
Source: RefSeq, a predicted model, not a curated record